Molecule: ribosomal RNA, 623 nt
Filed under: Desmoscolecidae sp. 454_5-1000_X
Lineage: Eukaryota; Metazoa; Nematoda; Chromadorea; Desmoscolecida; Desmoscolecidae
Description: eukaryotic LSU rRNA
Rfam family: Eukaryotic large subunit ribosomal RNA
Source: RNAcentral
AGAGGGCGUGAAACCGCUUAGAAGGAAACGAGAGGCGCCGCAUCUUUCAGCGAGAUUCACCUGCCUUCGCUGCUCUGUAGUGAUGGUGGGGCAUUUCUCGUUGGAGUGCACUGAGAGCAGUGUCGAUCGUUUUUUCAGCCAGUCGUAGCAAAGCACUCCGGUGCCGUUUAUGUUGGUAAAAAUUCGAACGAUACUGUUUGUAAGCAUCCUUUAACAGCUCGGCGUCCGCCGACCAUUCUCCAUUCAUUCGAGUUCGGCCUAGUGUCGGCUAGUUUGAUUUGGUGAUUGCUAGGUUGAUAGUUGAGUAGGUGCAGUCUCGGUGUGAACGUCGGCUACCCUCCCGACCCGUCUUGAAACACGGACCAAGGAGUCUAACGUAUGCGCGAGUCAUUGGGUUUAUAAAACCUACAGGCGCAAUGAAAGUGAAGGCUGGCUCGGUCAGCUGACGCACGAUCCGUUCGGCUUGCCAGGCGGCGCAGUGCGGUCCCAUCUCACAUGCUUGUCAUAGAGGUGGAGAUUGAGCGCAUAUGUUGGGACCCGAAAGAUGGUGAACUAUGCCUGAACAGGAUGAAGCCAGAGGAAACUCUGGUGGAAGUCCGAAGCGGUUCUGACGUGCAAAUCGA